AUACGGAAGGUCCGGGCGUUAUCCGGAUUUAUUGGGUUUAAAGGGAGCGUAGGCGGGGCGUUAAGCGUGCUGUGAAAAGCCGCGGCUCAACCGUGGUCGUGCAGCGCGAACUGUCGCCCUUGAGUGCGCGGGAGGCACGCGGAAUUCGUGGUGUAGCGGUGAAAUGCUUAGAUAUCACGAGGAACGCCGAUUGCGAAGGCAGCGUGCCGUAGCGUUACUGACGCUGAAGCUCGAAGGUGCGGGUAUCGAACAGGAUUAGAUACCCUGGUAGUCCGCACGGUAAACGAUGGAUGCCCGCUGUCCGCCCCUUGCGGCGGGUGGCCAAGCGAAAGCGUUAAGCAUCCCACCUGGGGAGUACGCCGGCAACGGUGAAACUCAAAUGAAUUGACGGGG
Molecule: ribosomal RNA, 393 nt
Filed under: uncultured bacterium
Lineage: Bacteria
Description: partial 16S ribosomal RNA
Rfam family: Bacterial small subunit ribosomal RNA
Source: RNAcentral